This 91-nucleotide microRNA precursor is filed under the name Capsicum annuum. RNAcentral's name for it is "mir-395 microRNA precursor family". It matches the Rfam family "mir-395 microRNA precursor family". From Rfam's summary of the family: mir-395 was identified in both Arabidopsis thaliana and Oryza sativa computationally and was later experimentally verified. mir-395 is thought to target mRNAs coding for ATP sulphurylases. The mature sequence is excised from the 3' arm of the hairpin. Lineage: Eukaryota; Viridiplantae; Streptophyta; Magnoliopsida; Solanales; Solanaceae. The record is from Rfam by way of RNAcentral.
GUGUUCCCAAGAGUUCCCUUGACCACUUCAUGAGGGAUUACUUUGUUGUAUAAAGUCCUGAUGAAGUGUUUGGGGGAACUCCGGGGCUAUC